CGCCACGCCCCAACCACCUUCCCUUUAAGCCGUCCCUUUAACAGCUGGGACCCUCAUGUGUAUUUCCGGGUUUCCACUGUGCUGCUGCUCACUGUUGGUUGUGGCGUUGGUUGUUAAUAAAACAAUCUCAAAUCUCCAACUCGACUCAUCGCUGAACGAAUUCAUCUCUAAAACUCGAGGAUCUGCGGUUGGGCUUUGUUGAUGCCUGGUUUACCUUCUGAUGAGAACAAGUAACAUCCACUUCCUCAAACAAUCCGUUACUCGACGGUCAGGUUUUUUUUUUCUCCCCCUUCAUCAACUCGCUUGCUGACGGAGGAUGGCGAGCUACCCACACACCACCUGGUGGUAGGAAAAAGAAAGACACUCUCCACACAGGAAAACCAAACAACACUUUCCAUACAGGAAACAAAAUAAACUCUAAGGGAGUAUCUAAAGGAAAAGAACAAUUCUCCCGUUGCUCUUGGACUUUUGAACUACAUUUGGUUUUGAAGUAUUAUUGAUUAUUUCAUUUUUGGUUUGUUCUUUUUUCCCUGUCCUUGUUUCUUUUGAACAAUUUCUCUUUGUUUAGUUUUUGCUGUUAGUAUUAUUAUUAUUAUUAUUAUUAUUGUCAUUAUUAUUAUCAUUACUAUUUCCACUGCAAUAAAUGGCAAUAUAAACAAAAGCUCUUUGCAUCAGUUGCAUCAAUUAUCCACCCAAUCAUGACUCCAUGCCGUACCUAUUUCUGAUUUUAUAGAGUGGUUAACACUAAGCCCUGCAGUCAGACCUGCGCCUUUAAGAAGAGCGUUACAUGUGGCGAGCUAGCCAGGAGUCUUGUAGUGGGUGAAUAAUUGCAUAAUUCCACAGUACCUUUAUUUUGGAUGUGUUAUCAUUAUCAAUAACAAAAACAAAAAUGGAUGUUGUUACUCAGUUGGGGUUAAACAUGCAACGAUCUGUGUUAGUUACUGGCACUCAGAGCAGUGAGGAUGAAAAA
Xiphophorus hellerii (green swordtail) is the source of this 970-nucleotide long non-coding RNA. RefSeq lists it as uncharacterized. The transcript has 3 exons. NCBI's taxonomy places the organism in Eukaryota, Metazoa, Chordata, Actinopteri, Cyprinodontiformes, Poeciliidae. The record is from RefSeq and is a predicted model, not a curated record.